This 75-nucleotide small nucleolar RNA is filed under the name Leptobrachium leishanense (Leishan spiny toad). Lineage: Eukaryota; Metazoa; Chordata; Amphibia; Anura; Megophryidae. The record is from RNAcentral.
GGCACAGAUGAUGAAAUUUAUUUUGCUGUAAAACCCUGAAUGUUUGUGUGGAUAAACCUUGGAGAACUGAGUGCU